GUCCUUUAGGUAAUUAUAAUUUAAGGUCUAACCUGCCCAUUGAUAAGUUAAAAGGCCGCAGUAAUUUGACUGUGCAAAGGUAGCAUAAUCAUUAGUUUUUUAAUUAAAAGCUUGUAUGAAUGGUUGGACGAGAUAAAAUCUGUCUCUUUAUAAAAAAUAGAAUUUAAUUUUUAAGUUAAAAAGCUUAAAUUUAUAUAAAAGACGAGAAGACCCUAUAGAUCUUUAUAUAAUUUUUUUUUGUAUUAAUAAAGAAAAUUUAAUUUAUUAAAAAAAUUUAUAUUUUAUUGGGGUAAUAAAAAGAUUAAUUAAAUUCUUUUAUAAAAAACAAUAAUUAUUGAUUAUAUGAUCCAUUAUUAAUGAUUAUAAGAUUAAGUUACCUUAGGGAUAACAGCGUAAUUUUUUUAGAGAGUUCUUAUCAAUAAAAAAGUUUGCGACCUCGAUGUUGGAUUAAAAGUAAUUCUAGGUGCAGAAGUUUAGAGUUUUGGUCUGUUCGACCAUUAAAUUUUU
RNAcentral lists this ribosomal RNA (507 nucleotides) under Hydroporus niger. Its description in RNAcentral is "partial 16S ribosomal RNA". It matches the Rfam family "Bacterial large subunit ribosomal RNA", at positions 1825 to 2597 of the family's 2925-position model. The record is from RNAcentral. Lineage: Eukaryota; Metazoa; Arthropoda; Insecta; Coleoptera; Dytiscidae.